AUUCAUCUGACGAGUUCUAAAUAGGAAGAAACGCACGUUCUGGAU
This 45-nucleotide non-coding RNA is filed under the name Schistosoma margrebowiei. The record is from RNAcentral. Lineage: Eukaryota; Metazoa; Platyhelminthes; Trematoda; Strigeidida; Schistosomatidae.